RNAcentral lists this ribosomal RNA (501 nucleotides) under uncultured Oscillibacter sp. RNAcentral's name for it is "partial 16S ribosomal RNA". The record is from RNAcentral. Lineage: Bacteria; Bacillati; Bacillota; Clostridia; Eubacteriales; Oscillospiraceae.
CACGUAGUUAGCCGUGGCUUAUUCGACAGGUACCGUCUUCUGCUCUUCCCUGUCAAAAGAAGUUUACAACCCGAAAGCCUUCUUCCUUCACGCGGCGUUGCUGGGUCAGGCUUUCGCCCAUUGCCCAAUAUUCCCCACUGCUGCCUCCCGUAGGAGUCUGGGCCGUAUCUCAGUCCCAAUGUGGCCGGCCAACCUCUCAGUCCGGCUACUGAUCGUCGCCUUGGUAGGCCGUUACCCUACCAACUAGCUAAUCAGACGCGAGGCCAUCUCUCAGCGAUAAAUCUUUGGUACAGAUACCAUGCGAUACCCGUACGUUAUGCGGUAUUAGCAGUCGUUUCCAACUGUUGUCCCCCACUGAAAGGCAGGUUCCUCACGCGUUACUCACCCGUCCGCCACUAAGCAUUCUUUUCCAUUGACCGAAGUCUCUUUCGAAGGUGCUCCGUUCGACUUGCAUGUGUUAAGCACGCCGCCAGCGUUCGUCCUGAGCCAGGAUCAAACUCU